UGGGGAAUAUUGCACAAUGGGCGCAAGCCUGAUGCAGCCAUGCCGCGUGUAUGAAGAAGGCCUUCGGGUUGUAAAGUACUUUCAGCGGGGAGGAAGGGAGUAAAGUUAAUACCCUUGCUCAUUGACGUUACCCGCAGAAGAAGCACCGGCUAACUCCGUGCCAGCAGCCGCGGUAAUACGGAGGGUGCAAGCGUUAAUCGGAAUUACUGGGCGUAAAGCGCACGCAGGCGGUCUGUCAAGUCGGAUGUGAAAUCCCCGGGCUCAACCUGGGAACUGCAUUCGAAACUGGCAGGCUAGAGUCUUGUAGAGGGGGGUAGAAUUCCAGGUGUAGCGGUGAAAUGCGUAGAGAUCUGGAGGAAUACCGGUGGCGAAGGCGGCCCCCUGGACAAAGACUGACGCUCAGGUGCGAAAGCGUGGGGAGCAAACAGG
This 429-nucleotide ribosomal RNA is filed under the name Chloroflexota bacterium. Its description in RNAcentral is "Chloroflexi bacterium partial 16S ribosomal RNA". It matches the Rfam family "Bacterial small subunit ribosomal RNA", at positions 355 to 776 of the family's 1533-position model. Lineage: Bacteria; Bacillati; Chloroflexota. The record is from RNAcentral.